GUUACUCUUUCUCAUUUGGUUUAGGCAUUUUUUCUUGGAGAACAAAGAAGUAGGAUAUUGCAGCUCAAUCAUCUCUAGAAAUCAAGUAUGCAGCUGAACCAAAUGAUACGGAAAAGAAAAUGAAAGCCACAAAACAAACACUAAAUCAGUCCACUAGUUUGAAGAACUCGUGGACUUAUUUGGUGACCGCUCUCGGAUUCACUACAACAAUAAGAAGAACGAAAUAUAAGGGUGUGUUUCAACCCCAAAACAGCCACCAAACUAGAUUUAACAAAAAGAAGAUGAAGAACAAGAUGAUCUUAACAAUAGGAAUAACAACAACAACACAAACGAGUACAAUACGAG
Molecule: long non-coding RNA, 345 nt
Filed under: Capsicum annuum
Lineage: Eukaryota; Viridiplantae; Streptophyta; Magnoliopsida; Solanales; Solanaceae
Description: long non-coding RNA (CANN_LNC012295)
Source: RNAcentral